GCGGUAUUGGAGCACUCAACAUCAACCAAUGAUACAGGUUGAAACACAAUCUUCUCAGUGACCUUUCAACCCCGCGCUCCAGCUAGAGCGCGAAAGAACAACAUUGAUCUGAGAUUAUUAAUAUAUUUUAUAGUGUUUAACUUGUAUAUUUUGUAAAGAAAGAUUUAAAAAUUAGUCAUUUGCAAUUCUUGUUCAUAGAAACCACCUAUCGCCGUUGCUAAGGAUUAUGUGUUGACUAUUAACUG
RNAcentral lists this long non-coding RNA (245 nucleotides) under Mytilus galloprovincialis (Mediterranean mussel). Lineage: Eukaryota; Metazoa; Mollusca; Bivalvia; Mytilida; Mytilidae. The record is from RNAcentral.